Molecule: regulatory RNA element, 101 nt
Organism: Turicibacter sp. H121
Lineage: Bacteria; Bacillati; Bacillota; Erysipelotrichia; Erysipelotrichales; Turicibacteraceae
Rfam family: SAM riboswitch aptamer (S box leader)
About the family: The SAM riboswitch is found upstream of a number of genes which code for proteins involved in methionine or cysteine biosynthesis in Gram-positive bacteria.
Source: Rfam
CUCUUAUCACGAGAGGCGGAGGGACAGGCCCAAUGAUGCCCGGCAACCAAUCAGUCAUGAUACGGUGCCAAUUCCUGCAGACAUUGUCUGAAAGAUAAGGG